Molecule: ribosomal RNA, 254 nt
Filed under: uncultured prokaryote
Description: partial 16S ribosomal RNA
Rfam family: Bacterial small subunit ribosomal RNA
Source: RNAcentral
UACGGAGGAUGCAAGCGUUAUCCGGAUUUAUUGGGUUUAAAGGGUGCGCAGGUUGUUUGAUAAGUCAGUGGUGAAAGUCUGUCGCUUAACGGUAGGAUUGCCAUUGAUACUGUUAGACUUGAAUAUGGAUGAGGUAGGCGGAAUGUGUAGUGUAGCGGUGAAAUGCAUAGAUAUCACGAGGAACUCCGAUUGCGCAGGCAGCUUACUAAACCAUAACUGACGCUCAAGCACGAAGGCGUGGGGAUCAAACAGGA